Hippopotamus amphibius kiboko is the source of this 546-nucleotide non-coding RNA. NCBI's taxonomy places the organism in Eukaryota, Metazoa, Chordata, Mammalia, Artiodactyla, Hippopotamidae. The record is from the annotation of a RefSeq genome assembly.
AUGGACAUGAUACUCGGAGCAUCAUUUUUGAUUGUGUGGCUUCAACUAGGCUGGGUGAGUGGCCAACAGAAGGGAGAAAGUGAGCAGCAGCAGGUGAAACAGAGCCCUCCAUCUCUGACAGUUCAGGAAGGAGAGAUUUCAAUUCUGAACUGUACUUAUGAGAACAGUGCAUUUGUCUACUUUCCAGGGUACCGACAACAUCCUGGUAAAGGCCCUGCAUUCUUGACAGCCAUACGUUCAGUUGUGAAUAAAACGGGAGAUGGAAGAUUUACAGUUUCCUUCAGUAAAAGUGCCAAACAUCUCUCACUGCACAUCACGGCUUCUCAGCCUGGAGACUCAGCCACCUAUUUCUGUGCAGCAAGUGCACAGUGCUCUCCAGGCACCUGCAGCCUGUACACAAACCUGCAGCUGAGGCUCCUGCCAAAUCCUGCUGUAACGGUGGUGAGUGUGCAGGUGCUUCACCCUCAUGAGCUCGAGGCAGGCCAGGAGCUCAGUGCGCUGCUGCUGCCCGGCAUCACCCGGGAACGCCACGCAGCGUGCUGCUAG